GUGGGGAAUAUUGGACAAUGGGCGCAAGCCUGAUCCAGCAAUGCCGCGUGGGUGAAGAAGGUCUUCGGAUUGUAAAGCCCUUUCGACAGGGACGAUGAUGACGGUACCUGUAGAAGAAGCCCCGGCUAACUUCGUGCCAGCAGCCGCGGUAAUACGAAGGGGGCUAGCGUUACUCGGAAUGACUGGGCGUAAAGGGCGCGUAGGCUGUUUGGUAAGUUGGGCGUGAAAUUCCUGGGCUUAACCUGGGGGCUGCGUCCAAGACUGCCUGACUUGAGGAUGGAAGAGGCUCGUGGAAUUCCCAGUGUAGAGGUGAAAUUCGUAGAUAUUGGGAAGAACACCGGUGGCGAAGGCGGCGAGCUGGUCCAUUACUGACGCUGAGGCGCGAUAGCGUGGGGAGCAAACAGGAUUAGAAACCCUUGUAGUCC
This 425-nucleotide ribosomal RNA is filed under the name uncultured bacterium. RNAcentral describes it as "partial 16S ribosomal RNA". It matches the Rfam family "Bacterial small subunit ribosomal RNA", at positions 354 to 796 of the family's 1533-position model. The record is from RNAcentral.